Chlorocebus sabaeus (green monkey) is the source of this 1649-nucleotide non-coding RNA. Lineage: Eukaryota; Metazoa; Chordata; Mammalia; Primates; Cercopithecidae. The record is from RefSeq and is a predicted model, not a curated record.
CCUUCACUGCGUUCUGCGCGCCUGCGCAGGGCGCGCGCAUGCGCAUCCCCUCAAGCGCCGGUCUUGGGGUGGGGCUGGAGUUCCGGGCGACCGGAGUGUUCUUCGGUCUUAUAUCUAAAUUUGUCUGGGGACCUCCUUGAAAUUUCUAAGUAGGCAGUUGUAUAAUCCGUGACUAUUGACAUUUACUUUCUCCUUUGGAACAUUUAAAUUUUAUUCUGUUAACUAGAACCUGAUAGUGGGCAUUCUGAGUUGUUUUUAACUAAGGCUGGCUCUCCUUGUGGUAGCAAGAUGGCUGCAUCUUCAUAUCCUCACACCACCGAAUUCAAUGGAAGAGUCUUACCAUUGCUUGCAGCAAGUCCUGCCAUUUACUCUUUCUUACUGGCCCCAGAUGAGUCAUGUGCUCAUGUGUGGAUCAAUCCUGUGGCUAAGGAGAUGAAAUGAUCUGCCCCACUCAGGGCUGAGACUGAGGUCUCACUUUAGCUGCAUCGCCAGCAUGGUGUUUCCAAGCAAAACUGUGUUGCUGGUGUGGAUGCCAGGCAAUAAACACACAAUUUCUGCUACAUGGAAAUUUCUCAUAACAUAAGAUCAUCUUUGAUCACAGUGACCUCUUCAACUUCUCCUAAGACAUGAGGCUGAACAUCUUCGAGAUUUAAAGUCAACUCCUCUUCUUCAAACAGUGCGCCACCAGCAGCAAUAGUUACACUGUUAAGCUGGUUCUUUCUACUGUCACCAAACCUUGGAGCUUUGACUGCUACAACCUGAAGACCAACUUUCAGCCUAUUCAAAAUGAGUGUACUUAGAGUUUCUCCAUCAACAUUUUCAGCAAUUAUGACCAAAGGCUUAUGCAGUGGGUAAAAGGUCUACACUUUGAAGCAUUAAGACUCAGGCAUCUGCACCAAGAAUUUUACAUCUUUGGCAUAAACCCAAGUGAGAUGAGGAGCCAGAACCCUCAGCACUGCUCUCAUCUGACGAAAGACUGCAGGUAAUUGAAGCAUUUCUGCAGGGUGGUGGCAGGGCUUGCACACGCUGAUACGGGCUGUCGGUGGUGAGUGAGGGAGCUUGUUGUAUUUCUUAAAGGAAAGGCUUUCAGCUUUUCCUCGUUGAGUAUGAUGUUAGCUGUGGGUUUGUCAUAUAUACCCAGUUUGUGUGUAUUUUUACCCACAACGUGUUGAGCAUUUUUUAUCAUAAGGGAACGUUGAAUUUUAUUGAAUGCUUUUUCAGCAUCUAUUGAAAUGAUUACAUGCCUUUUGUUCUUGAUUCUGUUGACAUGAUGUAUCACACUUGUUAUUGAUUUAUACAUGCUGAACCAUCCUUGUAUCCCCGGGAUGAAUCCCACUUGAUCAUGGUAAAUGACCUUUGUAAUGUGUUGUUGCAUUCAGUUUGCUAAUAUUCCAUUGAGGAUUUUUGCAUCUAUGUUCAUCAAGGAUAUUGGCCUGUAGUUUUCUUUUUUUUUAAUUGUGUUCUUGUCUGGUUUUGGUAUGUCAGGUUUGUGUGUGUGUGUGUAUGUUUAACAUUAGUGACUCCAUUUUGAUUCUGACAACUUUCACAGUAGUUACUGAAAUAAUAAUCUAAGAUAGAUAAUUUUUUUCAUUAUUUCUAUUUUUUCUUCUGAGACGGGGUCUCAUUCUGUCACCUAGGCUGGAGUGCAG